RNAcentral lists this ribosomal RNA (1690 nucleotides) under Enneanectes altivelis (lofty triplefin). RNAcentral's name for it is "16S ribosomal RNA". The stretch from base 86 to 1604 matches the Rfam family "Bacterial large subunit ribosomal RNA". The record is from RNAcentral. Lineage: Eukaryota; Metazoa; Chordata; Actinopteri; Blenniiformes; Tripterygiidae.
UGCUUACUAGCUAGCUCACUCAGGUCCCCUAAACCUUUCCUACAUCUAGUGUAUAAUAACCUAGCCCAUAUUAAACAAAACAUUUUUCCUCUUUAGUAUAGGCGAUAGAAAAAGAACUUGAAGCCAUAGAUAAAGUACCGCAAGGGAACGCUGAAAGAGAAAUGAAACAAACCAGUCAAGCCCAAAGAAGCAAAGAUUACCCCCUGUACCUUUUGCAUCAUGCUUUAGCUAGAAUACAUCAAGCAAAAGGUAUUGUAGUUUGACACCCCGAAACCAAGGGAGCUACUCCAGGGCAGCCUAAUUUAGAAGGGCCCCCCCCGUUCCUGUGGCAAAAGGAUGGAAAGACCCUCGAGUAGAGGUGAAAAACCUAUUCGAACUUGGUUAUAGCUGGUUGCCUGUAAAUUGAAUUGAAGUUCAGCCCCUUAAGCUUCUCCCCACCGCUUGGACUACUGUAUGUUUUGGUCCCCGAGAACGUAAGGGAGUUACUCAAAAGAGGUACAGCUCUUUUGAGAUAAGAAACAACUUUAUCCGGAGGGUUAAGACCAUUUUAAACUAGGCGACGUAUAUUAGUGGGCCCGAAAGCAGCCAUCUUUGCAGAAAGCGUUAAAGCUCAAGUAUCCCCCCCCCCGCCCUAAAUUCAGGUUAUUAUUCUUAUCCCCCCAUACACAACAGGCCAUCUCAUGUCUACAUGAAAGAGAUAAUGCUAAUAUGAGUAAUAAGAGGCCCGCCCCUCUCCCAGCACAAGCGUAUAUCGGAGCGGACCCUCCCCCGAAACUUAACGGCCCCAAUAAGAGGGUUUUGUGUAACAAAUAAACAACAAGAAAACUAUCCUACCUUUGACCGUUAACCUUACACUAGCGUGCCCCCCGGGAAAGACUCAAAGAAAAAGAAGGAACUCGGCAAACACCUAUUGAAGCCUCGCCUGUUUACCAAAAACAUCGCCUUCUGACAACCAAAUAUAGAAGGUCUGGCCUGCCCUGUGACACAUGUUUAACGGCCGCGGUAUCUUGACCGUGCGAAGGUAGCGCAAUCACUUGUCUUUUAAAUGGGGACCUGUAUGAAUGGCACAACGAGGGCUUGACUGUCUCCUUUUUCCUGUCAAUGAAAUUGAUCUCCCCGUGCAGAAGCGGGGAUGCUCCCAUAAGACGAGAAGACCCUGUGGAGCUUUAGACACCAAGGCAGCCCCCCGUUAAAAAGGCAUCUCACCCGCCUAUAAACCUCUUCCCCCUGCUUUACUGUCUUUGGUUGGGGCGACCGCGGAGAACUUAAAAAUCCUCCAUGUGGACCGAGAGCAUUUACUCAGAACUAAGGGUGACAACCCUAAGGACCAGAACAUCUGACCAAACAUGAUCCGGCAGUGCCGAUCAACGGACCGAGUUACCCCAGGGAUAACAGCGCAAUCCUCUUUUAGAGCCCAUAUCGACAAGAGGGUUUACGACCUCGAUGUUGGAUCAGGACAUCCUAAUGGUGCAGCCGCUAUUAAGGGUUCGUUUGUUCAACGAUUAAAGUCCUACGUGAUCUGAGUUCAGACCGGAGCAAUCCAGGUCAGUUUCUAUCUAUGCCGUGCUUCUUUCUAGUACGAAAGGACCGAAAAAAGAGGGCCUCUGCUCACAGUACGCCUUACCCCUACUUUAUGCAAACAACUCAAUACGACAAUGGGGCGCACCUCCUUGCCAAAGAUCAUGGCAAU